Anas platyrhynchos (mallard) is the source of this 3428-nucleotide long non-coding RNA. RefSeq lists it as uncharacterized. The record is from RefSeq and is a predicted model, not a curated record. NCBI's taxonomy places the organism in Eukaryota, Metazoa, Chordata, Aves, Anseriformes, Anatidae.
GGCAAAUGUUAUGUAAAACUGUGCAAACAGAAUGUUUGUGUUCUAGUUCCAGGUCAUUUAGUGGGCAAAAAAAAAAAAAAAAGAGAGACAUUUUGUGUGAAAUAGUCAUGAAACGGCUUGUUAUUAUAUAAGGAUAGGAACUGCUAGAUCAGACUAAUGGUGACAUGCCCAGAACCAGAUGCUUCAAAGGAAAAUGCAAGACAUCCCAGCGUGGAUAAUUAUGAAAUAGCCUGACCAUGGGGGAAAUUUCUGCAUAAACGACUUUAGUCCUAAAAAGCUAUGUGUUUAUAUUUCUUCCAACAAGGUUUCAGUGUGAUUUCCCAUGGAUACAAGGCUUAUGCAACCAGUGCACUGCCCGGCUGUGCAAAUCUCUGCCUCCCUCCCUCUCUGUCCACUCUCCUGCCUCCAGCACCUCCUGAAUGCCUCUGAUCUCUGCCACCUGAAGCAGAGGAGAGGAGGUCUCACAAAUAGCCUACAGGUUUCAUGAAUAUAAGCUGUUCCUCAGUGAGGAGAGACGGGUAAUCGUGCCAGCUCAGGGCGAGCUUACACCUUAGAAACCACAUGGGAGAGGAUCUUACGAGUGCUCCAGCUGUGGGAAAAGCCUCGACUGUGGCUCUCCAUCAACAUGAGAUGCAAAUCCCAGACAAUACAUUUCCCAUUCAACAGCUGCAGAGUCCUCAGGACAGAGAUAUGGAGUGUCUUCAAAGCUUGGCUGUCUUCUCAAGGACAAGGGUCACCGUGAGCUGCCCUGUACCAAUCCAUUCCUCUUGCACUGCCCGUCCCACAUCUUCUACCAUUUGCUCAUAGCCUGCACAGCAGCUUGACUUGAGCAAAGCCUCCUUGGAGGAGAUCCAUGGUAGAGUCCUUGUGAUAGUGGCUGCACAGGACAGCGUUUGGAUAUUGGAACAGAAGUUAUGAUAGGAAAUACUGAUGUGGAAAGGUGGAUCUCCUAAAACAGAAAGAGGCAUGUAUAUGUUUCCCACAAAAUUCAGCUGCCAGUAUAACAUUGCUAAUGGGGGAAUUUAUUCGUAGAUAUUUUGGCAACUCCUCAAGGUAGUCUCAUUUCAAUUGCAAAUCUCUCUCUUUACUUUUCAUUAACACUUGUGCAAGGAAAGUAUUGUUCCUAGGAGCACGAUUGGGAAGGCACUAUGACACACCCAUCUGUGGGUUGCUUGGUCUUAAAAUAAAGUAAGUAAAAUGAAAUCAGUGUAUAUGUCAUCUGGAAGCCCAAAUGAUUUACAAGAUGAAUCAUCUGUCAGGGACAGUGAGGGCUGGCAACCAAUAUAUCAUGUCUCAGAUGGUGGAUUACAGAGUUCAACUGCUUAGCUUAACUGCAGACCACAAAUAUGUAAGAAAACGGAGAUCUGGAGCCUGAUUAUACAAGACAUUAAUUGAACAAGUUCAGAAAUUUACACUGUGUACGUUUCUCCUCUCUAUGACCUGAGCUGCAGUGUUCUUUCCGUUUCCUGGAGAUGUGGCUUUUAGUCGCUGAAGAAGAAGCAAUGAAAUGGAGGCCUGGGAGCCCGAGAAGAGGAGCAGCAAGGUCCUGUGAAUCCAAAGGGACAGAGGCUCUGCUAAAUUCAACAGAACCAGUGGCCGUUCUUACUGGUUUCUUGCUGAAAUGAUGCUCUGGGGAAUUUUGCUGGGUUUCUGUGAAGCUGGAGAGCGCUGUGUGUUUUUGACAGGACCUGAUAUUCUGAUGUAACACCAUGCUUCUCGGAGCAGCCAUAUCUGCACCCUAUUUUCUACACCUUUUCUCUGGAAUUUAGGCAUUCAUGUCCACGCACGCAUCUUACUUCACGUUCCAGUCUUCUCUGCCAUGUCUACAACACAUCCUUAACCCUCAUUUCCACACUGCCGCAUAAUCUACUGGAGGGGUGAUUUUUUUUGGCAUUUGGGAAUGGUGUUAACAAGGAUCAGAUGCUGCCAUUGUUUAUGAAAGAGCUAGGUUUCCUUUACCAGCUGUGGCAUGCGUCGGUAAAAAAAAUUCCGGCAGUGUGGGCAUUACAGUGGAGUUCUUGUGUUUAGCAGGUGAAAAGUCAAUGCUCUACCUGUAACGAGGUUUGCUCAUGGAAAACCCCUUGAAGUUGUUUUUAGCAGCGGGGCAUUAGUCACCCCCGGGCAGCUGCUGGCCGCUCGGCGCUUCUGGCUCGCGCCGUGCCGCGCGCGAGGGCUGUUUUGAAGGCUGCACAGUGUUAACGGUGACUCUUGCUUUGCCUCAGGUGUUAAGUUUAAGCACAUGGGUCCUGGUUAUUUUAGGAAAACAUGAGCUCAUGUUCCAGGCAGCCUUCCCUCCGGUGAGAAGUGGUGCGUUGCAGUCCUUUCCUGUGCACGGGGCCGGGGCCGGUAAUACCCUGCUUCUGGGAGGAACACUGUGUGCCUUGGGAUUUCUACCAGUUGGGUAGAUUGGGAGUCCUACUUGGGUUUUCUUUGGGGGUAUGGGGUAGUGGGACCAUGUAGCACCAUCACGGAACACCUCCAAAAGUAGCAUGAGAUGACACAAUGGCCACCCAAAUUGUCUUGUUGCACCCGGUGCCCUUGAGGGUGGUGACCUGCCCACACGGGGGUCUCGCUGGGGAACUGAGGGUGGGUUUGGAAAGUAUGAAGAGGCUGGUGAGGAUAUGGAUGGAAAGGCAAGCAUGGCUGAGGGCUGGGAAAGAGAUGCUUUCUGUGUCAGACAGAGAUCAGGCGAAGAGGAGACAGCGGAGAGGUGAGAUCAUGGAGCGAGGUUUGAGGAGUGGAAUCUAUGAGAGCAUCAAAAGCACCGUAUUAAGUCAUGCUGCAUGAAGGCUAAGGCGGCUCCUAAAAAAUGGGAAAACACAGGUGGUGAAGGAAGAAAUCAGUUUAAUAGACCUGAAAGCUGGCUUGCCCACAGAGACUCUGGCUCAGAGCAAUGAUUUUUGCCUGAUGAAUGCUUGCCCAUCUCCUCCACUCCGUGGCUUCCCCCCAUCUCCAGCACUGGACAAGCAGGGAGGGGACCCUCAGGCAUUGCUCAAGGAGGAUGCUGGAUUUUUCAGCUGGUGGACAAGGGCAAGGAAAGCCCAGUGAGGACAGGUCCUUCACCAGGUGCAGGGUUGGGGACCCAUGUAGGUGCAUGGCAGGAACCAGAGGAGGGGAACCACCAAAGGAUGCUCAGCUGUGUCCCUUCUCUGGGACCAGCCAUCCCUUUCCUUCCUCUGCAGCUCAGACAGAGUUCACAGAGAAGAAAGGCUGCUAAUACAGACUGUCGCCACUUUAUAAGCAAAUGUCUUGAAAUAAUACAUACUUAAAGCUUUUACUAAUGUCCUUAUCAUAUGGCGGUCUAGGAGCGUGCAUAGAUUGAAUCGGAUAAGCAGAUCUAGGAAAACUCUCUGACGGAGAAUUCGUUUAAAGGUAGCUCUGGGGGAAGAAUUUGAAAUUCAAUUUCUGUUAUAGUUUUGACAAAAAAA